AUUGAACGCUGGCGGCAUGCUUUACACAUGCAAGUCGAACGGCAGCACGGGGGCGAACCCUCGGUGGCGAGUGGCGAACGGGUGAGUAACACAUCGGAACGUGUCCAGUUGUGGGGGAUAACCCAUCGAAAGGUGGGCUAAUACCGCAUGAGCUGGCAACAGGAAAGCGGGGACCCGCAAGGCCUUGUGCGAUUGGAGCGGCCGAUGUCCGAUUAGCUAGUUGGUGGGGUAAAGGCCUACCAAGGCUUCGAUCGGUAGCUGGUCUGAGAGGAUGAUCAGCCACACUGGGACUGAGACACGGCCCAGACUCCUACGGGAGGCAGCAGUGGGAAUUUUGGACAAUGAGGGCAACCCUGAUCCAGCCAU
Molecule: ribosomal RNA, 366 nt
Filed under: uncultured bacterium
Lineage: Bacteria
Description: bacterial SSU rRNA
Rfam family: Bacterial small subunit ribosomal RNA
Source: RNAcentral